Molecule: transfer RNA, 469 nt
Filed under: Brucella intermedia
Lineage: Bacteria; Pseudomonadati; Pseudomonadota; Alphaproteobacteria; Hyphomicrobiales; Brucellaceae
Description: Ochrobactrum intermedium partial contains 16S rRNA, ITS1, tRNA-Ile, tRNA-Ala and 23S rRNA
Rfam family: tRNA (bases 111-184)
Source: RNAcentral
CGCGGCCCACCCUUCGAUAAACUCAGGAGGGCCGACGGCCGGUCGGCCUUGCGAAGCUUUGCUUCGGGGGUGGACUUCUGGAUCGCGUAGCAGCGUUUGCGUCGGUAUCUGGGCUUGUAGCUCAGUUGGUUAGAGCACACGCUUGAUAAGCGUGGGGUCGGAGGUUCAAGUCCUCCCAGGCCCACCAUGUUACAUGAUAAGGGGCCGUAGUUCAGCUGGGAGAGCACCUGCUUUGCAAGCAGGGGGUCGUCGGUUCGAUCCCGUCCGGCUCCACCAUCGUGUUUUGGUGUAGAGACGGAUAUUGGCAAUCAACGAAAGAAAGAAACAAGUUUGCGGACUUUUAUGAAAGUCUGCCUGUUCUGUAUGAAAUCGUGAAGAGAAGAUGUAAUCGGAUCAACUAUCCAGUUGAUGUCGCAAGAGCUUGCUCAAGCCUUGCAUUAUGAUUGAUGUGUUUAACCGCCAUCACCGA